Long non-coding RNA from Cavia porcellus (domestic guinea pig), 2785 nucleotides. RefSeq lists it as uncharacterized. Lineage: Eukaryota; Metazoa; Chordata; Mammalia; Rodentia; Caviidae. The record is from RefSeq and is a predicted model, not a curated record. The transcript has 2 exons.
CACCCCAAGCCUGUUAUGUGUAAACGAGAGGCGGGGGAGGUAAAUCAACAGAUUCAGCUCAGCGGCCUGGUCAUUUCCACAGACGCAGCACGGGUCAGAUCUCUUUUCUGCAGAUGGCAGGACGGCCACAGCCACCUGUCCGGCCCCCAGCUGUUCGGUCUCUGUCCCAGGGACCCAAUUCCGUGUUAUACAAAAGCGGCCACAGCCAAACCCCUGAGAGUGUGCGAGCCUCAGGGCCAUAAAAUUUCAUCUCUGGGCACUGAAACUCGAAUUUCAUGUUUUUCACGAGUCCAAAGCAGUCUUUGGAUUCUUUCAAUCAUUUAAAAGUGGUAAAAACUGGCAGAAUGACUGGGUCCAUAAAAACGUAAAAAUCAUGGCUUUGGGGUUUUUAAAAAAAUGUUGGGGCUGGAGUCCAGGUCCUCCAGCCCGCUAGGCUGCACCCCGGCCCUGGAGGAAGAGGACACCUCAUGGCCCGUAGAGCCAGGCGGUAGGCCAGGUCGGGUUCGUGGAGCAGCAGCGCGCUGAACAGGUACUGUGCAUGGGCACGCCCUCCCGGGACAGCGCCUCCCCGAAGCCGCUGAAGGGCAUCCCUUCCGGCUCAGCACCUGAGCUCGGGCCGCCUCUCCCAUCAAGUGUGCUUAGACCUCGGGUUCCAGAGAGAGCCUGCACCGAACGGGACAGAUGCAAAGGCCAGGGAGACCAGGGCUGGGUCUGACACAGCGACUAGGGUCCCCGGCACUCCUAGUGCCCAAGACCGGCGAGGUCCCACCGGGAAGCCUUGAGGGGCAGUGCCAAAUAACUCCCGCAUCAAUAGGGGCGGAAACUCACAGCAAUCAAGCCCAUAGGCUCAGACUACGGGCGGGGCCAGAGGCACAGGGGCGGUGCCUAUGUUGCCGUCCCCGCCCAGAAGCGACUAUCUCAUUGACUAUAAACUGCUCAAAGGGUGGGCCCUCACCAUGUAGAGCAGUUAUUGGCUGGCAGCAAGUCGAGGCGGCACUAAAAACUUUUAGAAUGGAGAGUAAGGCCCUGGAGGCGGAGCUAAGGGGGAGCAGGUAUUGGCUGCCAGCACACGCUAGGGGGCGGGAGUAAGAGGAUGGCGUCCGCUCAGGGCGCACCGUAAACUGCAGGGGCGGUGCCUCACCGUCCAGCAGCAGCCGCGCCUGCUUGCGCAGCACCUGUGCUAGCCAGUCAUCCAGGUCCACUUCCUCCAGCAGGGUCAACAGCUGCUCAUUGCGCACCACCUUGUCCUGGGCAUAGAGUCCCUCAGACAGGGCCCGCUACUGCCCCAGGCCCAGCAGUGUGAGCUCUACUGCCAGCGCCAGGUUCGGCCGCCGCUUUAGCCUUCGCCUCCGUUCCGCCCCCGGCGCCCGACCCGAUUGGACCCCGUCUAGGCCUCCGCGAUCCUCUUGUUCCCUUGGCUGCGCCUCCAGACCCAGACGCUUCGGCUCAUUGGACAACUGCUAUGCCAGUGUUACCGCGUUUGUCCAAUCACGGAACGCAGCGGGAGGCGCUGUCAAUCACACAGCUCCAGGAGCCAAUCGGAGCGGAAAGGACCCCCCCCACCGCAUCUUGGACCGUCUGCCAAGUUUCGGGGCGGGCCCUGGGUUCAUUCACAUUUCUCCCCCGCCUCCCCGGAGCUGGACUGUGGGCCAGGGGCUGCUAGGCUUUGUUUACCGAGGGUCGCUGCCGGGCGCCCGGAGGACUGUCGGCUGCGCCGCGCCUUCCACCUGCGCUUGUGCGGUCCGAGACGUGCGCCCUGCGUCUCAGGGCCCCGGCUCGGUGUGAGGUUUGGGGACCCGAGCAUAGGUGCGGAUUUCCGGCGGGACGUGGGAGGGCUGCAGACCUCGGCCCAGGCAAGGCUCAGCCCAGGGUACCCCCCCUCCUCGACCCCGUCCUUUCAGUGCCCUAAAUAGGUUGGUUCAUGAUUUUGUAAAAUUUUAUCAGGGCCGGGACUCACUAAGUAGUUCAGGCUGGCCUGAACUCACAGAGAUUCUGCUGUCUCAGCCUCCCAAGUGCUGGGGUGACAGCUGUGCGCCCCCAUGCCUGGGAAAAUUUCUAGUUUUCGAUCAUCUCGACGUAGUAAAGUGUGCAGCUUCAAAUCCAACCGCCUGCGAUCACUUUUGUGACCCAGCUCGUCCGGGCCACCAUCUGUGCCCCGGAAGCUGGCCGUGGUCUUGGUCACUGCCUCCCCCACCCCGAGAUCUCAGAGCACCCGCGUAGCGCUUCCUCGGGCUGUCUCGUUACUGCCGGCGUCUGGGCAGCACCGCCCGCGGCCGCUCGGUCUGGCACCUGUGACUUAGGCUACGACGCAAGAAAGCGAUGUGCAGAGCUGGGACGGGGCCCCUCUGCCUGGGAACUUCAGGGCUUUUCUCGGGGUCUCAAGCGGCUCUUUCUGACCAGUCCCAAAUGUGCGGUAGAUUUCAGACACUUAAAUAAAUGGCCACGGGGCUGAGGAUUUAGCUCAGCGGCAUAAGCGCCUGCCUUGCAAGCAGGCAGUCGUGAGUUCGAUCCCCUGUACCGAUGAAAACGAAAAAGACCAAAAAAAAAAAAAAAAAAAAAAAAGGGCACAAAAUAUCUCAUUGAGAAUUUUCAGUGGGAUGCGGUGGCGCACAUCUGUCAUCCCAGCACUCAGGAAGCUGAGGCAGGGAGACUGCUGUGAAUCUGAGGCCAGCCUGGGGGAAAGCAAUUUCAAUACCCUAUCUCAAAACACCAAAUUAAAGACAGUGUUAACUAUUGAUUACACAUCAAAAUGAUGCGUGGUUUCAGUAAACUCUGAUUGAAAUUG